GCUGCUGUGAGGACAAGAAGGAGUCACUGCCUGGAGGAGCUGCCUAUAAGAAAAAUCAAGGAGUUUCAGCUCAAACAGCACCACAAAUACAAGAAGUGAAAUCAACAUAGAUAUGUUGAGUGUGCCUCCAUCCCAGGAAGAAGAGAGCUAUUCCCUUCCAUCAGCCUGGGGUCUUUGAAGAGGAUUAAGAAAUGGCAGUGAGCCUGAAAUUGCCAUAGUGAGGCGCCGUGAUUUCAAAACCUGGAAACUUGGAGUUUUGCCCUUCCUCCACUGAGCUGAGACACAUUUAUUGGUUUGGUUCUCCUUGCCCUGCUGCUGAUGGAAUUCAGGACAACUCAAGCUGAGAUUCAUGAGGGAAAUGGAAUAAAUACAAAAGUCUGCACUAUAUAAAAAUAUUCAGCUAUGUCUACAAGAGUUCGUCCUGAAAACCACCCUUUGUGCCGGUGUUACCAAUGGCUUUGUGACCUCCUUUGAAAUUGUGCUUGUGACUUGGUUAUGACAGACUGGGAUUGGAGGCAAGCUGGAAGUCUCUAGCCAAGGACACGAUAAACUAUAAUUGUUCUCCAGUAUUCUGACUUUGUCAUCAGCAGAUUUUUUUCAUUAUAAAUCUUUUUUUGUUCAAGACAAGAUCAAGGAUGAGUUUCAUGCAUUUGUGUGCUUACAACUCUCUGACAAAGGAAAUAGCUUGCUUCUGAAGCUCAUACCUUUCCCAAUCACAUAGAAACU
This is a non-coding RNA of Zonotrichia albicollis (white-throated sparrow), 726 nucleotides long. The record is from RefSeq and is a predicted model, not a curated record. NCBI's taxonomy places the organism in Eukaryota, Metazoa, Chordata, Aves, Passeriformes, Passerellidae.